CCGGUGGCGUGCCGCAUUACUCAC
This 24-nucleotide non-coding RNA is filed under the name Arabidopsis thaliana (thale cress). The record is from RNAcentral. Lineage: Eukaryota; Viridiplantae; Streptophyta; Magnoliopsida; Brassicales; Brassicaceae.